UAUAUAUAUAUAUAGAAUUGAGCUAGAAUACUUUUAUAAGUAUUACCCCCAUGAUGCUAUUAGGUUUUUAGCCAUUGGAUCUACUCCUUGAUUACUAAUAGUCCUUGGAUCAAACACUAUUCCACCUACCACCACCUACCACCACCUACCACCAUCAUCUCAACCUCACAUCUAUUCAUCCAAUGGCUAAAAACUCAAAAGCACCACUCACAUAAUACUUUUACAAGUAUUCUAGCUCAACUCUAUAUAUAUAUAUAUAUAUAUAUAUAUAUAUUACAAAAUAAAUUUCGGUUCGGGUCGGGUAUAGUCAAAAUCCUUAUCCGUCGGGUUUCUAUGUUUUAUAUUCAUAUCCGAAUUCAUAUCCAAUUAGUAUCGGAUAUAUCCAUUUCAUUUGGUUUCAGAUUCGGAUAAAAUUUCGGAUAUUUAUACCCAUUGACAUCCGUAGCUGUGGCACUCGAUAUAUAUAUAUUUGAAAAUAACCGAUUUACCUCUAUUUUUUUUUUUUUUAAAUGCCUCUCAUAUGUUCCACCGUUAUUGUAAAAUACUCCGGCAGCUAUCUCAUGUUAAGUUAACUUGGAUUAAACGUAAAUUAAAUAUCUACCAUAAUUAAAAAAAAUUAAAAUGCUAAUUUUGCCCUUAACUUAAUAGCAAAUAAGAAAUGUUAGUGACGGUAGAGGAAUAUAUUUGAAAAGACCAAAAGUCAAAAUACUUUUUGUGUUCCUGAUUUUAAGGGCAAAUAAGAAAGUCGGUGAUGAUGGAAGGGUAUAUUUGAAAGGACAAAAUAGUAUUUUCAAUAUUAGCCUUCUAAGAGGGGUAAAUCGGAAAGUCGAGAAUUUUUCAGGAGUAUAUAAGCAAUUGCCCCAUACAUAUAUAUAUAUAUAUAUAUAUAUAUAUAUGUAUAU
RNAcentral lists this long non-coding RNA (902 nucleotides) under Ananas comosus (pineapple). RNAcentral describes it as "long non-coding RNA (ACOM_LNC041197)". The record is from RNAcentral. Lineage: Eukaryota; Viridiplantae; Streptophyta; Magnoliopsida; Poales; Bromeliaceae.